GCCGGGCACAGUGGCACAUGCCUGUAAUUCUAGCAGCUUGGGAGGCUGAGGCAGGAGCAUCACCGGUUCAAAGCCAGUCUCAGCAACAGUGAGUCACCAAGCACCUCAGUGAGACCCUGUCUCUA
This 125-nucleotide small RNA is filed under the name Marmota monax (woodchuck). The record is from RNAcentral. Lineage: Eukaryota; Metazoa; Chordata; Mammalia; Rodentia; Sciuridae.